ACGUGGCUUCUCUUUCUCUGGGGCCACGAAGCUGGUGGGAGGGAAACCCCGAGCAGCCAGACUCCACCUCGGCCACCUUUGUCCUGAGACCCGUCCUGAGAAUGAGGACAGCGCUGAGCAAAGCACCUCCAGGCGACAGGGAGAGAAAGAUUCCAAACCAAAAGAAACCUUUCCAACCUUCCGGGCAUGAUUUCUGCAACCAUGCCCAGGACACUAAUUCCCUAUGGAGUAAGAAAUCAGAGAGAGCAAGCAGGGGAGAGAGAGAGAAGGAGACACAGAUUCCGAAGCAGACUCCAACUCUGAGCUGUCAGCACAGAGCCCGACGCGGGGCUCAAACUCAUGAACCGUGAGAUGACGAGGAACUGAAGUCAGACGCUCAACCGACGGAGCCGCCCAGGCGCCCCAGAGCAUGGCUUGUUUUUUAGUUUUUGGUUUUGUUUGUUUAAUAUUCUUCCAUGUGUAGAAUUCCUUCUGAGAGGUUUUCUUGUAACAAAUUACCCAGUAGUGAGCUUGUGUGAGGGGAAAGUCCCACCUCCAAUUCCUGGCAGCUACUGAUCCCUCCCCGGGGAGAACUGAGAUCUGAACACAAUACUGGGCUUACACCGAUUAGCAGCUAGAGGCGAGUGUGCUGGAGAACAAAGCCCACCCAGACAGGGGAGCAGAGCGGAGACCUGCCCCUUCUGGACUAGCCAGAGACAGAGCAGUCGCUGACGAUGAUUCAUAGAAACUGACAAGGAAAUUCUGAAGUUUAUCUGGAAAGGGGCACCUGGGUGGCUCAACUGGUUGAGCGUCUGACAUCGAUCGGCUCAGGUCGUGAUCUCGCGGUUAAUGAGUUCAAGCCCCACAUCAGGCUGCUGACAGUGGUGGAUCCCUCUUCAGAUCCUCUCUCCCCCUCUCUCUGCCCUUUUCUCGCUUGUGCUCUCUUACAAAUAAAUAAACAGAUAAAACUU
Molecule: long non-coding RNA, 950 nt
Organism: Neofelis nebulosa (Clouded leopard)
Lineage: Eukaryota; Metazoa; Chordata; Mammalia; Carnivora; Felidae
Exons: 4
Source: RefSeq, a predicted model, not a curated record